ACUAACUUUAUCCAAAUUAGGUAAGAGGUCGGUCUACAGCUAGUGCUCGGUUUUAAACUCUGCUUGCAUUUGAUCUGAAGUCUGAACCAAAACUCGUGCUAAUAAGUUUCGUUAUUAUUUGAAAAAUCUAACGAAUACAAGUAAUCGUUUACCUUUGAAGAUUAUGUUGAAAUGUGUCAUCACUCUUAAACCAUGGUAACACGAUAUUACUUCCAGGUCUGAGAACAACAGCCAUUUGUCUAUUCUUAAGCAUCUAAGAAGGUACCCAUUUUAUGAUAUGGCUUCAACUACGACAGUUGACAAUUCCAAAAGGAAAGAAAAAUCUCCUGAAGAGUCUAGUUGUAGAAAAAUUCCCCUGCUGUGCUUUGACAAACAAGACAAUGAAUCAUCAACAUGUGUGAUUUGCCUUGAGAUAAUCACGAACAAAUCUUUUGCAAACAAAUGCUUGCACAAGUUCUGCUUUGAGUGUUUGCUCAAGUGGUCUGAACAAAAAGCAGAAUGUCCAUUAUGCAAUGGACCUUUUACUGCAAUCAUACACAAAGUAAAAUCUGAUCAAGAGUACGAUGAACACAUAAUUGAGUCAAUACCAUCUGAAGAUGAAAUCAGUUAUCUGAAUUCUAUCGUUGACUUCUUUGAUUCCAACAUAAUAAGCACCAGCAAUUCCAGCACCAGCAAUUCCAGCACCAGCGAUUUAAGCACCAGCGAUUCAAGCACCAGCGGCUCAAGCACCAGCGAUUCAAAUGGAGCAUUAACAUUUUAGCUAAUAUAACCUUCCUUUGGCUGUGCCGAAUCUACAUCCAAUUCUGGUUGAGUGGUUAUUAAUACGCAUAUCAAGUGAAGGCUAUCGCCCCACAACGACGCAACUCAACAUUGACAAAAAGUUCAUCAACUGUUGUGAAAGGCAGAAAGAAUGAUGCGUUUCGCAUCGCGUUCCAUCAAGGUCAGCUUCAAAGUGUUUUCCAAAGUGAAUCCUGUCCGUUACCAAGGGAUGACUAAAAUUGCUGCAUGGAUCUACCGCCCACAUCUUUGACAUCUGGUUGUUUUCAAAUUUCGGAGGGUAAUAGCAUCCUGUCAGCAAAAUCUUGUGCAGAUCUUUGACAUCAAUUUCAGUCGAAUUAU
RNA transcript from Daphnia pulicaria, 1119 nucleotides. It is a transcript of the gene named E3 ubiquitin-protein ligase Topors-like, with no coding region annotated. The transcript has 6 exons. Lineage: Eukaryota; Metazoa; Arthropoda; Branchiopoda; Diplostraca; Daphniidae. The record is from RefSeq and is a predicted model, not a curated record.